GACGAACGCUGGCGGCGUGCUUAACACAUGCAAGUCGAACGGAAAGGCCCUGCUUUUGUGGGGUGCUCGAGUGGCGAACGGGUGAGUAACACGUGCGUAACCUGCCCUUGACUUUGGGAUAACUUAAGGAAACUGGGGCUAAUACCGGAUAGGAGCUCCUGAUGCAGGGUGGGGGUGGGAAAGUUUCGGCGGUUGGGGAUGGACCCGCGGCUUAUCAGCUUGGUGGUGGGGUAGUGGCUUACCAAGGCUUUGACGGGUAGCCGGCCUUUGAGGGUGACCGGCCACAUUGGGACUGAGAUACGGCCCAGUCUCCUACUUUAGGCAGCAGUGGGGAAUAUUGCACAGUGGGCGGAAGCCUGAUGCAGCAACGCCGCGUUCGGGAUGUCGGCCUUCGGGUUGUAAACCGCUUUCGCCUGUGACGAAGCGUUAGUGACGGUACUGGGUAAAGAAGCACCGGCUAACUACGUG
RNAcentral lists this ribosomal RNA (468 nucleotides) under uncultured bacterium. Its description in RNAcentral is "partial 16S ribosomal RNA". It matches the Rfam family "Bacterial small subunit ribosomal RNA", at positions 28 to 507 of the family's 1533-position model. The record is from RNAcentral.